This 331-nucleotide ribosomal RNA is filed under the name uncultured bacterium. RNAcentral's name for it is "bacterial SSU rRNA". It matches the Rfam family "Bacterial small subunit ribosomal RNA", at positions 1045 to 1375 of the family's 1533-position model. The record is from RNAcentral.
AUGGUUGUCGUCAGCUCGUGUCGUGAGAUGUUGGGUUAAGUCCCGCAACGAGCGCAACCCUUAUCUUYAGUAACCAGCACGUAADGGUGGGCACUCUGGAGAGACUGCCAGGGACAACCUGGAGGAAGGUGGGGAUGACGUCAAAUCAUCAUGCCCCUUAUGACCAGGGCUACACACGUGCUACAAUGGCGUAAACAAAGRGAGGCGAGCCUGUGAAGCGGAGCAAAUCUCAAAAAUAACGUCUCAGUUCGGAUUGUAGUCUGCAACUCSACUACAUGAAGCUGGAAUCGCUAGUAAUCGCGAAUCARAAUGCCGCGAGUGAAGCGUUACC